CACGGAUUUCUAUAAUAAGCCUACUAAACGGUAGAUUUGAAGUUCUAGUUUUUUGCACAUCAGAUGACGUCUAACGUCGCACUGUGAUGCUUUUGACUACUGGGGUAAAGGCACACAAGUGAUCGUCACAAGUGUAGAUCCCAAACCCCCAGUAGUGUCUAUGAUGUCUCCAUGUCAAUCUUCAUCUGAUACCCUAAUUCUUGGCUGUCUGGCCUCUGGGUUUUUACCUGCUGAAUCUGUCAGAUUCAAAUGGAUGGAUCAGAAAGGAAAUGCCUUGACUGAUUUCAUCCAGUACCCUACAGAAACAACUGGAGGCAAGAUGUUGACAAUCAGCCACAUAACUAUUAAUCAAGCUAAUCAAAGUAAAAUUAUGUGUGCUGCAGAACACCCACUGAAAACAGUCAGCGAAACAUUCAUAACAGUGACUCCACAAACACCAACCCUGAGUUUGGUUCCUGUUGUAACUCCAAAAAGAACAUCUGUCAUGUGUGUUAUUGAGGAUUUCUACCCCAAAAACCUCGCUGUACAAUGGAAAGUAAACAAUAACAUCACAAGCCAGCUAAAACCGGAAAGCAAACAAAAUAAAGAUACAGGUCUUUACACAGCAUACAGUUUUUAUGAAGUCAGCAGUGAGACUUGGCAUACAAAAACUGACUAUACCUGUGAGGUCACACAUCAGAAAAAUACGAUUCCUGUGACGAAGAACUUCGAAGCUAAAUUAACAUUGCUGCUGAAGCCACCAAUUGAGAGAGAACUAUUUGUCAAUAACAAAGUUAUUUUGCAAGCUGUUGUUUCUGGAGAAGUAAAAAAGACUUCAGUGUCGUGCACAGUGAAGGAUGUAAAAGUAGCGGAUAUCACACCAGGAAAUAUCGUCUCUUCUAAAGACACUCCACCGUUUAUAAUCCACAAUGUCACCAUUGAUACACAGAAAUGGUUUAAUGGUGAAACUGUCACCUGCACCAUCCAUGACACAAAUAAUAACAGAGACAUCAAGCAGGAAAUCCAUUUUGAUAAAGGAGAUAAAAGCAAACCCAAAGUUACCAUUUACAAACCUGAUAAUGGCACAGAUUAUGGUUCUCUGGUGUGUGAGGUCACAAGCCCUAAACUUGGCGAUGUCUAUAUCAUGUGGAAGGUGGGCAAUGAGUCUAUUGAGGGCAGAACCAGUGCUCCCAUCCUUCGAGAGGACUCCACAUCUGUUGUCAGCAUCCUAACAAUCCCAAAGAAAACAUAUGAAAAACCCCAAACCACCGUCACUUGUGCAGUCAAACAUGCCAACAUGGACAAUAUGGCAUCUCCACUACAAGUGACAACAAGCCUAACGGAGCCACCUGAGCCAGAGAAGGGUUUUGCUCUGAACUGUAAUAAUGAUGUUCUGGAGGAGGAUGAGUUCAGAAGUCUCUGGUCCACUGCCACUUCAUUCAUCUUCCUCUUCCUCUUUUCUCUGACAUACAGCGCUGCACUCAGCCUCUUAAGGAUGAAGCAGUGAUGAUUUUUUUAAAAAAACUUCUGAAAACUCCAAGGUUUCUGAUGGUGUUGAUUCUACAUAAUUUCCCUCUAUGCACACAAUGAUAUUGACAAAUAUGUACUCAGUGUUCACACUCAUCAAUAAAGUCUUAUUAUGUCUACUC
This is a non-coding RNA of Megalobrama amblycephala (Wuchang bream), 1628 nucleotides long. The record is from the annotation of a RefSeq genome assembly. NCBI's taxonomy places the organism in Eukaryota, Metazoa, Chordata, Actinopteri, Cypriniformes, Xenocyprididae.